RNAcentral lists this ribosomal RNA (462 nucleotides) under uncultured bacterium. RNAcentral describes it as "partial 16S ribosomal RNA". It matches the Rfam family "Bacterial small subunit ribosomal RNA", at positions 28 to 507 of the family's 1533-position model. The record is from RNAcentral.
GACGAACGCUGGCGGCGUGCUUAACACAUGCAAGUCGAGCGGAAAGGCCCUUCGGGGUACUCGAGCGGCGAACGGGUGAGUAACACGUGAGUAACCUGCCCCAGACUUUGGGAUAACCCUCGGAAACGGGGGCUAAUACCGGAUACGACACAGCUUCGCAUUGGGUCUGUGUGGAAAGUUUUUCGGUUUGGGAUGGGCUCGCGGCCUAUCAGCUUGUUGGUGGGGUGAUGGCCUACCAAGGCGACGACGGGUAGCCGGCCUGAGAGGGGGACCGGCCACACUGGGACUGAGACACGGCCCAGACUCCUACGGGAGGCAGCAGUGGGGAAUAUUGUACAAUGGGCGGAAGCCUGAUGCAGCGACGCCGCGUGAGGGAUGACGGCCUUCGGGUUGUAAACCGCUUUCAGCAGGGACGAAGCGUAAGUGACGGUACCUGCAGAAGAAGCGCCGGCCAACUACGUG